RNAcentral lists this transfer RNA (65 nucleotides) under Stictocephala bisonia. Its description in RNAcentral is "tRNA-Leu". The record is from RNAcentral. Lineage: Eukaryota; Metazoa; Arthropoda; Insecta; Hemiptera; Membracidae.
AAUUGAUUUGGCAGAUAAUUGCGUUAAAUUUAGAAUUUAAUUAUAUAAUUUAUAUUAUAUUCAAU